Molecule: ribosomal RNA, 253 nt
Filed under: uncultured bacterium
Lineage: Bacteria
Description: partial 16S ribosomal RNA
Rfam family: Bacterial small subunit ribosomal RNA
Source: RNAcentral
UACAGAGACUGCAAGCGUUAUUCGGAUUCACUGGGCGUAAAGGGUGCGCAGGUGGCCAAGUGUGUUAGGCGUGAAAGCCCGGGGCUUAACCCCGGAAUUGCACCUAAAACUACUUGGCUAGAGCAUUGGAGAGGGGAGCAGAAUUCACGGUGUAGCAGUGAAGUGCGUAGAUAUCGUGAGGAAUACCAGAGGCGAAGGCGGCUCCCUGGACAAUUGCUGACACUCAGGCACGAAAGCGUGGGGAGCAAAAGGG